Molecule: ribosomal RNA, 497 nt
Filed under: uncultured bacterium
Lineage: Bacteria
Description: partial 16S ribosomal RNA
Rfam family: Bacterial small subunit ribosomal RNA
Source: RNAcentral
GAUGAACGCUGGCGGCGUGCCUAAUACAUGCAAGUCGAGCGAACAGACGAGGAGCUUGCUCCUCUGACGUUAGCGGCGGCCGGGUGAGUCACACGUGGAUAACCUACCUAUAAGACUGGGAUAACUUCGGGAAACCGGAGCUACUACCGGAUAAUAUAUUGAACCGCAUGGUUCAAUAGUGAAAGACGGUUUUGCUGUCACUUAUAGAUGGAUCCGCGCCGCAUUAGCUAGUUGGUAAGGUAACGGCUUACCAAGGCGACGAUGCGUAGCCGACCUGAGAGGGUGAUCGGCCACACUGGAACUGAGACACGGUCCAGACUCCUACGGGAGGCAGCAGUAGGGAAUCUUCCGCAAUGGGCGAAAGCCUGACGGAGCAACGCCGCGUGAGUGAUGAAGGUCUUCGGAUCGUAAAACUCUGUUAUUAGGGAAGAACAAAUGUGUAAGUAACUAUGCACGUCGUGACGGUACCUAAUCAGAAAGCCACGGCUAACUACGUG